Chinchilla lanigera (long-tailed chinchilla) is the source of this 1031-nucleotide long non-coding RNA. RefSeq lists it as uncharacterized. The record is from RefSeq and is a predicted model, not a curated record. The transcript has 3 exons. Lineage: Eukaryota; Metazoa; Chordata; Mammalia; Rodentia; Chinchillidae.
GGAAGCAAAACAGUCCCAUUAAAUCGUCUCUCUCCUGUUUCCCUUCCACCUUAAAGUUCUCCCGUUUGCUCGCCUCUUCCUCCGACCCCAGCCAGGAAAACUGAGAAGAUGACAAGUCCCUUCAGACAACCCCAUAUUCCCAAGUGCAUUCUGGACAGAGGGAGGAUUUUGGAAAAAUCCAUGGAGUAUCUAAUCACAUGCCUUGGACCUUGACAAUCCUUCCACUCAGUGUGGGUCCCCAUCCCUCCCUGUGAAAUGGGGAGUAUGAAGGACACUGCUCCCUGUUCCCGCAGCAGAGUGAGGGGAAGUGACAUCAUGUGAUUCUGCAGUCAGCUCAAGAAAGGUUCAGCCUCUACCAGUCUUGCUCAUUCAGUGAUGCCACCACUGCGCUGUGCGGAAGCUCAAAGAAACCCAGGUGGAAGAAAUCACAGACAGGCACCCACAGAGAGAGGAGCUGAGCCCAGCGGACAGCGAGCAUAGAUGGACUUGCAGAUAUUCCUGUGUCCUCUGGAGCUUGCAUUUGAGAUUUCAAAUACCGGAGAGUACAGUGCAGCCAUCCCUCCUGUGCCCUGUCUGAAUUUCUGGUCUGUAGGGCCAGUAAGUGUAAUAAAUGGGGGUAAGGAGAUGCUAUCCAGUAAGUUCUAGGAACAAUUAUGUAAUUUCAAAAAUGCUUUAUGUAAAAACAAAGUGCGAUGAGUCUGAAGAAUUACUAGCUAAUGGCUAAAAUUCAGGGAGGAGAAGAAGGUCAGCAGUCAUAUAGUAAGUGGAAGAUGGUUGGAUUAGUGACAGGAACUCAUUCAUGACUUCAUUCGUGACUUCAACAGAAGCAGUUUUGGAAGACUGUGGUAGGUAUAGUCUGAAGGACAUGGAUUAGAAAGAAGAUAAGAUGGAUUAGAGAGGGUGAAUCUGGAUAUUUCUAAAAGGGAGACACAAAAGGAGUCUGUAGGUGUGGGAUAAAGUGAUGUCAGAGAAAGCUCUGCUUACUUUCCAUGAUGGAGGUAUACAUCAUGCUUGCACAUGGAGGAUUUUAU